Molecule: ribosomal RNA, 447 nt
Filed under: uncultured bacterium
Lineage: Bacteria
Description: bacterial SSU rRNA
Rfam family: Bacterial small subunit ribosomal RNA
Source: RNAcentral
UCGGGAAUUUUGGGCAAUGGGCGAAGGCCUGACCCAGCAACGCCGCGUGAAGGAUGAAGUAUUUCGGUAUGUAAACUUCGUAAGAAUAGGAAGAAUAAAUGACGGUACUAUUUGUAAGGUCCGGCUAACUACGUGCCAGCAGCCGCGGUAAUACGUAGGGACCAAGCGUUGUUCGGAUUUACUGGGCGUAAAGGGCGCGUAGGCGGUGUGUCAAGUCAGUUGUGAAAUCUCCGAGCUUAACUCGGAACGGUCAACUGAUACUGUCACACUAGAGUACAGAAGGGGCAAUCGGAAUUCUUGGUGUAGCGGUGAAAUGCGUAGAUAUCAAGAGGAACACCUGAGGCGAAGGCGGGUUGCUGGGCUGAUACUGACGCUGAGGCGCGAAAGCUAGGGUAGCAAACGGGAUUAGAUACCCCGGUAGUCCCUGAGCGGGCUGGCAAGGCGCAU